CCAGUAGAACUGUCAGUGUUGACGAACAGCCAGGAUGGCGUAUUGAGAUGCUCAGCACUCUCACGUCCUCUAACCUCCUCCCCAUCCCUGUGUUCGUCAAAGGGCUUUGGCACAGCUCCCUAAGAGGCUAGGACUUGGCAGAGAAUAUGCACACAGUGCCAAGACCUGGUGUCUGACAGGGCUUCACCCCGUGUUGAAGGAAUGGCGACUGUCGCUCUGGAACGCUGGAAUAACUGGGGAGAAACAGACUAGACAGAUGAUCAGGUGCGUGGGGGCUGGGGGCUGGGCAGGGCAAGCUGAGGGCCAAAACU
This is a long non-coding RNA of Mus musculus (house mouse), 311 nucleotides long. RefSeq annotates it as predicted gene, 31374. The transcript has 3 exons. The record is from RefSeq and is a predicted model, not a curated record. NCBI's taxonomy places the organism in Eukaryota, Metazoa, Chordata, Mammalia, Rodentia, Muridae.